GUAGGUGAACCUGCGGAAGGAUCAUUGUCGAGACCCAUAAAGGAUUGGAUGACCCUUGAUAACCCGUGGACAUGUGGCAGCGUCAGCUGCCUAUAAAUGCCAUUCGCCCGGUGCCCCCUUCUCGAUCGGAGCAUCAAAAUGGGUGGAUGCAACCUAUCAAUUGGGCGCCGCGCCGCGCCAAGGAAGCGUUGUCACGAGCAUUGACCACUAUCCGUAGGAGCUCGAAGGGCUUAACGGUGCGUUGUUGUUGCUUUUGAAAUACUGURUGACUCCCGGCAAUGGAUAUCUUGGCUCUUGCAUCGAUGA
Molecule: unclassified non-coding RNA, 306 nt
Filed under: Spiranthes sinensis var. amoena
Lineage: Eukaryota; Viridiplantae; Streptophyta; Magnoliopsida; Asparagales; Orchidaceae
Description: partial contains 18S rRNA, ITS1, 5.8S rRNA
Source: RNAcentral